This 267-nucleotide ribosomal RNA is filed under the name uncultured Pseudomonas sp. RNAcentral's name for it is "partial 16S ribosomal RNA". It matches the Rfam family "Bacterial small subunit ribosomal RNA", at positions 1117 to 1382 of the family's 1533-position model. The record is from RNAcentral. Lineage: Bacteria; Pseudomonadati; Pseudomonadota; Gammaproteobacteria; Pseudomonadales; Pseudomonadaceae.
ACCAGCACGUUAUGGUGGGCACUCUAAGGAGACUGUCGGUGACAAACCGGAGGAAGGUGGGGAGUGACGUCAAGUCAUCAUGGCCCUUACGGCCUGGGCUACACACGUGCUACAAUGGUCGGUACAAAGGGUUGCCAAGCCGCGAGGUGGAGCUAAUCCCAUAAAACCGAUCGUAGUCCGGAUCGCAGUCUGCAACUCGACUGCGUGAAGUCGGAAUCGCUAGUAAUCGUGAAUCAGAAUGUCACGGUGAAUACGUUCCCGGGCCUU